Molecule: ribosomal RNA, 431 nt
Filed under: Capnocytophaga granulosa
Lineage: Bacteria; Pseudomonadati; Bacteroidota; Flavobacteriia; Flavobacteriales; Flavobacteriaceae
Description: bacterial SSU rRNA
Rfam family: Bacterial small subunit ribosomal RNA
Source: RNAcentral
GAUGAACGCUAGCGGCAGGCCUAACACAUGCAAGUCGAGGGAGAAGCCCUUCGGGGCAGAAACCGGCGCACGGGUGCGUAACGCGUAUGCAACCUACCUUUCACAGGGGGAUAGCCCGAAGAAAUUUGGAUUAAUACCCCAUAAUAUUAUUGGAUGGCAUCAUUUGAUAAUUAAAAUUACGAUGGUGAAAGAUGGGCAUGCGUCCUAUUAGCUAGUUGGAGUGGUAACGGCACCCCAAGGCUACGAUAGGUAGGGGUCCUGAGAGGGAGAUCCCCCACACUGGUACUGAGACAGGGACCAGACUCCUACGGGAGGCAGCAGUGAGGAAUAUUGGUCAAUGGUCGGAAGACUGAACCAGCCAUGCCGCGUGCAGGAAGAAUGCCCUUAUGGGUUGUAAAACUGCUUUUAUAUGGGAAGAAUAAAGGAAGUAC